Long non-coding RNA from Gallus gallus (chicken), 1301 nucleotides. The record is from Ensembl. Lineage: Eukaryota; Metazoa; Chordata; Aves; Galliformes; Phasianidae.
GGACUUCCCUGGGCCUGCUAUCUGAGACCUGCUGCUUCCUCCCUGACCUGCAUCCUCUCGCUGCCCCAGACCGGCCCCGCUGCUCCUGCCCUUCGGCCUCGGACCGUCGGAACAUCGUGCAACGGGACUGCUGCCGGAUCCUGGUGUUGAAAAUAAGCACUCUUUUAAAAAUAUGGUGAAAGAAGGGCACACGUAAAGAAUUGAGGAAUUCUGAAAACUGGAACAUUUCAAACACACGAUUAUUUUACUGGUAAUACUUACCUAGAGCAAUUUAAGUGAAAGGGGAAUAAAGGUGCUGACUAAGCUGAAGGCUCCAACUUCCAGAGUGAAACCAGAGAAGACAACCUUUCUCUUGCAACAUGAUAACACCAGUACCCAUGCCAGUUAGAAGAUGAUGGAUCACACCGCUAACUUGGCUGGACUGUUGAAAAUAACUGUAUAGCCUGGAUUUUGCAUCUUCUCAUUUUCAUCUGUUUGGGAAAAUGAAAGGACUGUGUGGGCGUCAUUUUCUUAGCAGCUGGCAUGUCACAGCAGCUGUGAAAUAGUGGGUCUUUCACUGCUGCAGAUUUUUAUGAGUGUGGCAUGCAGGCUCAAGUUAUCACUGGUGAAACUGCAUAGCUAAUGGUUGUGACUAUGUUGACAAAUAGUGUUUUGUAACAGAGAAUUUGCUCUAUCAAGUAGUGUCAUUGUGGUUUUUGUAUCUGUUGUCUUUUCCAUGGAAAUAAACAGCAGGCAAUACCUUCAGACCAAGCUACAUAGUUACUCAACUAUUGAUUUUCUAACCAAAAUUGCCAGGAAAUGACAAAUCAUAUGUGAAGUUUUGCAGAUAAAAUCAGAUACUAACACUGACUACGCCUAACUAAAAAUGUAGUUAUUAAGUUUAAGUUUACCAAGUUCAGAAAGAAUUGCAUUACUAUUGUAACUUUAAAAUUACUCACCUGAUUAUUCUGCCUGGACCUGGAGCAUCCUAUUCACUGUAUGAUACAGAAUGGUGUUUCCUAGUGAAUGUACACACACAACCCACUCACACUCAGUUGGGGGCAUGCAUAGAUGUUGUCCCCCUCUAUCUGGCACAAGGGUAGACUUUUACCCACAUGUGCUGUUCUUUAGACACUCUCUAAUAAUUUCAUAUCAUUCUUAUAUUCUGAUGCCCAAAAGAACAUAACACUCAAAGUGAGGCCAUAACGGUGCAGAACUGAAUGAGACAACUACUUUCCUCAGCCAGCUAGCAGAGCUGUGCCAGAUGAACCUCAGAGUGCAGUCAACACCAUCACUACUAGACACAAUCACUAAUAGACAAU